GCUGAGGCGGUAUAGGAUGGACCCGCGUCUGAUUAGCUAGUUGGUAAGGUAAUGGCUUACCAAGGCGACGAUCAGUAGCCGACCUGAGAGGGUGAUCGGCCACAUUGGAACUGAGACACGGUCCAAACUCCUACGGGAGGCAGCAGUGGGGAAUAUUGCACAAUGGGCGAAAGCCUGAUGCAGCAACGCCGCGUGAGCGAUGAAGGCCUUCGGGUCGUAAAGCUCUGUCCUCAAGGAAGAUAAUGACGGUACUUGAGGAGGAAGCCCCGGCUAACUACGUGCCAGCAGCCGCGGUAAUACGUAGGGGGCUAGCGUUAUCCGGAUUUACUGGGCGUAAAGGGUGCGUAGGUGGUUUCUUAAGUCAGGAGUGAAAGGCUACGGCUCAACCGUAGUAAGCUCUUGAAACUGGGAAACUUGAGUGCAGGAGAGGAAAGUGGAAUUCCUAGUGUAGCGGUGAAAUGCGUAGAUAUUAGGAGGAACACCAGUAGCGAAGGCGGCUUUA
RNAcentral lists this ribosomal RNA (502 nucleotides) under uncultured Bacillota bacterium. RNAcentral's name for it is "bacterial SSU rRNA". It matches the Rfam family "Bacterial small subunit ribosomal RNA", at positions 209 to 729 of the family's 1533-position model. The record is from RNAcentral. Lineage: Bacteria; Bacillati; Bacillota.